RNAcentral lists this long non-coding RNA (3591 nucleotides) under Ananas comosus (pineapple). Its description in RNAcentral is "long non-coding RNA (ACOM_LNC024000)". The record is from RNAcentral. Lineage: Eukaryota; Viridiplantae; Streptophyta; Magnoliopsida; Poales; Bromeliaceae.
GUAUAGUCAAUGCUUGAACUUUCGUUUUCCAAAUUCCUUGCAUGAGAUCGAGUCAUGCAUCCUUCCUUUUCUCUACCACUCCAUUACUAUUCUCCGUCUUCUUCAAUGAAAACGAAAAGGCCAAAAUUCAGAGGGGGAAACCAAAAAACACACAUUAUGCACCCAGAAACUCUUCUGCUGCUUCCCUUCAUCCUUCUCUUGCUUCUAGCAUGCAUACUCCCUUCUCUAUCCGACGCAAAGAACUACUACCGAUACACCGAUUGCGCUCCGACGAACUACACUUGCGGGACGAUGAAGUUCACCGUUGGCUACCCGUUUCAGUUCGGCACCGCCCGACCAGACUACUGCCGAUAUCCGGGGUACUACCUCACUUGCACCGAUGACACCCUUCUGAUCAACAUCGACGAUGGAAUGAAGCCCUUCCAAGUGAAGAACAUCGACUACGGGAACCACCUCCUCACGCUCGUCGACCUGAAUUUUUCUGCCGAAACAUGCCCUCUACCAAACUACAACGUCACCAUCAACACCACCAUCUUUGAUUACAACGACCGCAAUACGAUGAUGACCAUAUACAACUGCAGUACUCUGCAAACACCCUUGCCUGCAGCCGACAUAUAUAAAAUCCCAUGUGCAGAGGAAAUAUCCGGGCAGUACUAUUAUUAUCGACUAAAUGACAAGGAUAGUGUGUUUGGGAAUUGCAUUUUGCUAUCGCAAGUUCUGGUGCAGAUAUCGGCGGCAAAUCAGUUGCUUGGUGAGAGUUUGAGCUUCGGAGAAGCGCUGAAUGAGGGUUUCAUGCUGCGGUGGACGGCGGGGAAGGGGUGGUGCAGUGACUGCAUAAGCUCUGGCGGGAACUGCGGGUAUAACACGGUCGCGCGGGACCAGCAAACCUGCUACUGCCCGGCCGGGACGGCUAUCGGAAAUUGCUCCCCAACAGGUACACCGAAUUAUGCUUCAUGCGAUAGCGCUUACCUGUUUGAACCUACCGCGCGAUUUGGUGUUGCUCGACCGAGUACCGCUUGCUUGAGUAGUACUUUUACGAACAGCGCCGGGCUAAAGUAUUUUUAGGUGCUUCUCUCAAUCGCAAAAUUACAAGUUUCAAAUGUUUUUUGCACGUCACGAUAGAAGCAAAAAUAGUCCCAAUCGACAGCAGAAGCAAAAAUAAAGCCAAAAAGGCACAGAUUCCGUUCUAGAGUCUUGGUUGCAAAUUGUUUCUUUCUCAAAUUUGCCGUUCAGGUGAAAAAUUCGGGUCUUAAAGAGAGAGAGAGAGAAAACUAAUUAAUGAGAUCAUGGGGCUAUUCUCUUGUUUUAGAUACAGGGGAGCACGAAUCAAGGUUUAAUUAUAGUUGCUCUAGUUAGUUAGCACAUAACUUUGGAUAAUUUUCUAUCAGAUUGAUUUUUUCGUUAACAAGAUAUUAGAAUCAGUCCCAAUCCAUCCUGCUUAACCCCUAUUUAACGCGUUUGUUAGUCACCACUUCUGUCAUUCAUCUCCUAUCAACUGUGGGGGGCAAAUUGAAGUUUACUCUUUUCUUUUCUUUUUUUUUCUUUUUUUUGAAGGAGCUUAAUAGGAGGCAACUUGACAUAGUAUUAUUGCACGUAAUUAAUGAAAGACCCCUUGGAUUUUGAGAAAUAUGAACCUAUUAUCUCAAAAUUCAAUAUUUCAAAAUGUUAACCAUUUAUAUUUAUACAUAUACAUUAUUUCUCAUAAACUUUUGUCACAUGACAGUACCAUAGUCUCUUCUUCUUAAAAUUUCUACUCUCCAAUCAUUGCGACCGCUCACCUUCCGCGUAACGUCUGCCUCUUCGGCUUUCCGUCUCAUUAAUUUCUUCUCUGUAAUGUCUGCCUCUUCGGCUUCCCGUCUAAUUAAUUCCUUCCCCGUAACAUAUGCCUCUUCGGCUUUCGGUCUCAUUAAUUCCUUAUUUGUGACGUCGCUGUUUCGACUUUCCGUCUCAUUAGUUUUUAUUUUUUAAGAGGCGUUGUCUGAGGAGCCCGUGGACACCACAUACGGCGUCCUUGACAACAACCUCGCCAAUAGUUUAUAAAAUUGGAAUUCUGAAUAUAUAUUUAUUAGGUUACUCAUUUUCAUUUCACUUUCUUUCUUUUUAUUGCUACUGUAGUAACUAAGCUCCCUCCUUCUCUUUUUCUAAAAUCUCAACUCUUUCUAACCUCACUCUAUUUCUCUUCCUAUUUCUUUAAUUAUGCUCUUUCUCUAUCUAACCUAUGCUCUCUCUUCUUUUUUUUCUAGAAAGAUGUUGAAAUUUUUUAUGACAUUAUCUAAAAUUAAUUAACGAAAGAAAUAAAUUAAUUAUAUAUUUUUCGUAAUCUUAAAUAACAUGACUAAAUAAUAUGAUCGUACGAACCAAACGCCGAAAUGCCAUAUUGUUAGUAAUAGAAUGAAUAGGAAUAAGAUUCUCGGAUAUUUUUUUACUUUUAGUAAUUUUUUAUAGUGCGAACCAAACGCGCCCUUAAUGUGUCCUUUCGCCGCCAUUGGAUGGCCGCAUGUGGUCAUAUUAUUGCAUCCCGUCGCGAAGCGCGGUCGGUGGGUUAUUUCACUAGUGUAGUUAGAAUAGUAUAGUCAAUGCAUGAACUUUCGUUUUCCAAAUUCCUUGCAUGAGAUCGAGUCAUGCAUCCUUCCUUUUCUCUACCACUCCAUUACUAUUCUCCCUCUUCUUCAAUGAAAACGAAAAGGCCAAAAUUCGGAGGGGAAACCAAAAAACACACAUUAUGCACCCUGCAGAAACUCUUCCGCUGCUUCCCUUCAUCCUUCUCCUGCUUCUAGCAUGCAUACUCCCUUCUCUAUCCGAUGCGGAGAACUACUACCGAUACACCGAUUGCGCUCCGAAGAAUUACACUUGCGGGACGAUGAAUUUCACCGUUGGCUACCCAUUUCAGAUCGGUAUCGACCGACCAGACUACUGCCGAUAUCCGGGGUACUACCUCACUUGCACUGGUAACGGCACCCUUCUGAUCAACAUCGACGACGGAAUGAUGCCCUUCCAAGUGAAGAACAUCGACUAUGGGAACGACCUCCUCACGAUGGUCGACCCGAAUUUUGCUGCCGCAGCAUGCCCUCUACCAAACUAUAACUUCACCAUCAACACCACCAUCUUUGAUUACAACGACCGCAAUACGAUGAUGAUCAUAUACAACUGCAGUACUCCGCAAACAUCCUUGCCUUCCGGCAUAUAUUCAGUCCCAUGUGCGGAGGAAAAGUCCGGGCAGUACUAUUAUUAUCGACUAAACGACGAGGAUAGUGUGUUUGGGAAUUGCGAUUCGGUGUCGCAAGUUCUGGUGCAGAUAUCGGCGGCAUAUCUGUUUAGUCAUGGAAAUUUGAGCUUCGAAGACGUGAUGAACGAGGGUUUCAUGCUGCGGUGGACGGCGGGGAAGGGGUGGUGCAGUGACUGCGUAAGCUCUGGCGGGAACUGCGGGUAUAACACGGUCGCGCGGGACGAGCAAACCUGCUACUGCCCUAGCGGGACCGCUAUCGGAAAUUGCCCCCCAACAGGUACACAGAAUUAUGCUUCAUGCGAUCGAUAGCGCUUACCUGUUUGAACCUACCGCGCGAUUUGGUGUUGCUCGACCGAGUACCGCUU